This 215-nucleotide long non-coding RNA is filed under the name Ananas comosus (pineapple). Its description in RNAcentral is "long non-coding RNA (ACOM_LNC036928)". Lineage: Eukaryota; Viridiplantae; Streptophyta; Magnoliopsida; Poales; Bromeliaceae. The record is from RNAcentral.
GCGACGACGACGCGACCAAGCACCGUUUUUUUGGGCGAAUCAUUCGCGAAUCGCGAAUGAUUCGCGGAUAAUUAUAUUUGACGAAAAAAUCGCGUUUUUUUUUCAAAUUUUUCAGAAAAAUACGGAUGCGGACGAUUAAUUCGGAUUUUUAAAAAUUCGCGAAUAAUUCGCGAAUUAACUAACUGUGACGCAGAGUCGAAGUAUGCCAUCCUUUU